RNAcentral lists this ribosomal RNA (279 nucleotides) under uncultured bacterium. RNAcentral describes it as "partial 16S ribosomal RNA". It matches the Rfam family "Bacterial small subunit ribosomal RNA", at positions 506 to 784 of the family's 1533-position model. The record is from RNAcentral.
UGCCAGCAGCCGCGGUAAUACGAAGGGUGCUAGCGUUGUUCGGAAUUACUGGGCGUAAAGGGCGUGUAGGCGGAGUAUCAGGUGUUGUGUGAAAGCCCCGGGCUCAACCCGGGAACGGCAUGGCAAACCGGUACUCUUGAGGCAGGUAGAGGUGACUGGAACGACUGGUGGAGCGGUGAAAUGCGUAGAUAUCAGUUGGAACGCCAGAGGCGAAAGCGAGUCACUGGGCCUGUCCUGACGCUGAGACGCGAAAGCGUGGGGAGCAAACAGGAUUAGAUA